UACGAAGGGGGCUAGCGUUGCUCGGAAUUACUGGGCGUAAAGCGCACGUAGGCGGAUUGUUAAGUCGGGUGUGAAAUCCUGGAGCUCAACUCCAGAACUGCCUUCGAUACUGGCGAUCUCGAGUUCGGGAGAGGUGAGUGGAACUGCGAGUGUAGAGGUGAAAUUCGUAGAUAUUCGCAAGAACACCAGUGGCGAAGGCGGCUCACUGGCCCGAUACUGACGCUGAGGUGCGAAAGUGUGGGGAGCAAACAGG
This 253-nucleotide ribosomal RNA is filed under the name uncultured bacterium. RNAcentral describes it as "partial 16S ribosomal RNA". It matches the Rfam family "Bacterial small subunit ribosomal RNA", at positions 524 to 776 of the family's 1533-position model. The record is from RNAcentral.